UCCUACCCUUCAGUUCUACUGCGCCUU
RNAcentral lists this non-coding RNA (27 nucleotides) under Rattus norvegicus (Norway rat). The record is from RNAcentral. Lineage: Eukaryota; Metazoa; Chordata; Mammalia; Rodentia; Muridae.